GGCAGUUCUCAGGUGAUGCACCCCAGAAUGAGGCUCCCUCCACUCUAGUUCUGGGGUGUGUCACCCAAAAACCACA
Molecule: non-coding RNA, 76 nt
Organism: Myotis lucifugus (little brown bat)
Lineage: Eukaryota; Metazoa; Chordata; Mammalia; Chiroptera; Vespertilionidae
Source: Rfam